UACGACUCUUUCUCUUUCCUCUUCCUUCUCCUUCCUCUUCCUCCCCUCAUCUCUCUGCUACAGAUCUAACCGAAAACCUAACCAGAAAUAAUCACCAAAAACCAAAACGCAGUGGUUUUGUGCUAUGACCCGAAAAAGCGGCACUUUGACCAGCUAUUGGUCCGCCCCGCUCCAUCGGAUAGCGGCCGCAAAGCCCACUAUUGACCCGCUUUUCCCUAACACGCGACUCGAUAGCGCUCCAACGCGGUAGUCUGUUUUUUGCCGCUCCGCGCCGCGAUAGCGGCCGCUAUUAACAACAGAGUGUAAUAGUCUACCAAAUACUAGUAUUGCCAAUUCAGUUUACAUGAAACGAAACUUUCCUUCUUCAAAAACAAAGUUCUUAAAACAGUACUAGUUGAGGAUGAAUUGAGGGAAAAUAUUCUAAGAGGUUUAGAUACUAGUUGUGGAUGAGAUAAAAAAUGUUAUCACUUUAGUUUUUUUUAUUCUUGAAUUAUCAAUUGGAAAAGUGAUAUUACUGUAUAAAACAUCAAUACAAUGAAAAUUCUAUAUCACUCUAUUUCUAUUUUUCUAUUCCAUUCUUUAUAGAACAUCCAAACAUAACUGAAAAUUAUUGCAGAUGAUGCAAAUAGUAGCAAU
This 636-nucleotide long non-coding RNA is filed under the name Medicago truncatula (barrel medic). RNAcentral describes it as "lncRNA gene34432". The record is from RNAcentral. Lineage: Eukaryota; Viridiplantae; Streptophyta; Magnoliopsida; Fabales; Fabaceae.